GACGAACGCUGGCGGCGUGCCUAAUACAUGCAAGUUGAGCGAUGAAGCUUGGUGCUUGCACCAAUUUGAAGAGCAGCGAACGGGUGAGUAACGCGUGGGGAAUCUGCCUUUGAGCGGGGGACAACAUUUGGAAACGAAUGCUAAUACCGCAUAACAACUUUAAACAUAAGUUUUAAGUUUGAAAGAUGCAAUUGCAUCACUCAAAGAUGAUCCCGCGUUGUAUUAGCUAGUUGGUGAGGUAAAGGCUCACCAAGGCGAUGAUACAUAGCCGACCUGAGAGGGUGAUCGGCCACAUUGGGACUGAGACACGGCCCAAACCCCUACGGGAGGCAGCAGUAGGGAAUCUUCGGCAAUGGACGAAAGUCUGACCGAGCAACGCCGCGUGAGUGAAGAAGGUUUUCGGAUCGUAAAACUCUGUUGGUAGAGAAGAACGUUGGUGAGAGUGGAAAGCUCAUCAAGUGACGGUAACUACCCAGAAAGGGACGGCUAACUACGUG
Molecule: ribosomal RNA, 497 nt
Filed under: uncultured bacterium
Lineage: Bacteria
Description: partial 16S ribosomal RNA
Rfam family: Bacterial small subunit ribosomal RNA
Source: RNAcentral